Molecule: ribosomal RNA, 497 nt
Filed under: uncultured bacterium
Lineage: Bacteria
Description: partial 16S ribosomal RNA
Rfam family: Bacterial small subunit ribosomal RNA
Source: RNAcentral
GAUGAACGCUGGCGGCGUGCCUAAUACAUGCAAGUCGAGCGAACGGACGAGAAGCUUGCUUCUCUGAUGUUAGCGGCGGACGGGUGAGUAACACGUGGAUAACCUACCUAUAAGACUGGGAUAACUUCGGGAAACCGGAGCUAAUACCGGAUAAUAUUUUGAACCGCAUGGUUCAAAAGUGAAAGACGGUCUUGCUGUCACUUAUAGAUGGAUCCGCGCUGCAUUAGCUAGUUGGUAAGGUAACGGCUUACCAAGGCAACGAUGCAUAGCCGACCUGAGAGGGUGAUCGGCCACACUGGAACUGAGACACGGUCCAGACUCCUACGGGAGGCAGCAGUAGGGAAUCUUCCGCAAUGGGCAAAAGCCUGACGGAGCAACGCCGCGUGAGUGAUGAAGGUCUUCGGAUCGUAAAACUCUGUUAUUAGGGAAGAACAUAUGUGUAAGUAACUGUGCACAUCUUGACAGUACCUAAUCAGAAAGCCACGGCUAACUACGUG